Molecule: unclassified non-coding RNA, 288 nt
Filed under: uncultured Auriculariales
Lineage: Eukaryota; Fungi; Basidiomycota; Agaricomycetes; Auriculariales
Description: sequence contains 5.8S rRNA gene, ITS2, 28S rRNA gene
Rfam family: 5.8S ribosomal RNA (bases 1-52)
Source: RNAcentral
AACGCAACUUGCGCUCCUUGGUAUUCCAUGGAGCAUGCCUGUUUGAGUGUCACGUAAACCCUCACCCUUGCGAUGUUAAAGUCGUCUUGUGGUGGAUUUGGAUUGUGCCGUAAUUGGCUCAUCCUUAAAUGCAUUAGCUUGCGCUUUUUACAGUGCUCGGCAUGGUGUGAUAAUUAUCUUCACCGUCGCCUUAGGCCUGUUCUAUAUGUGCAGCUUCUAAUCGUCCCUUGUGGACAAUUUACUUAACGCUUUGACCUCAAAUCAGGUAGGAUUACCCGCUGAACUUAA